This 519-nucleotide ribosomal RNA is filed under the name uncultured yeast. Its description in RNAcentral is "SSU rRNA". It matches the Rfam family "Eukaryotic small subunit ribosomal RNA", at positions 1 to 535 of the family's 1831-position model. The record is from RNAcentral. Lineage: Eukaryota; Fungi.
UUAACCUGGUUGAUCCUGCCAGUAGUCAUAUGCUUGUCUCAAAGAUUAAGCCAUGCAUGUCUAAGUAUAAACAUCUAUACAGUGAAACUGCGAAUGGCUCAUUAAAUCAGUUAUCGUUUAUUUGAUAGUACCUUGCUAAUUGGCAUACGCCUGGCAAUUCUAGAGCUAAUACAUGCACACAAGCCCAACCUCCGGAAGGGCUGUAUUUAUUAGAUAAAAAAUCAACACUCCAGGAUUCAUAAUAACUUGUCGAAUCGCAGGGCCUCGGGCCGGCGAUGGUUCAUUCAAAUUUCUGCCCUAUCAACUUUCGAUGGGGAUAGAGGCCUACCAUGGUUUCAACGGGUAACGGGGAAUAAGGGUUCGGUUCCGGAGAGGGAGCCUGAGAAACGGCUACCACAUCCAAGGAAGGCAGCAGGCGCGCAAAUUACCCAAUCCCGACACGGGGAGGUAGUGACAAUAAAUAACGAUACAGGGCCCUUUCGGGUCUUGUAAUUGGAAUGAGUACAAUGUAAUACUAGG